RNAcentral lists this ribosomal RNA (253 nucleotides) under uncultured bacterium. Its description in RNAcentral is "partial 16S ribosomal RNA". It matches the Rfam family "Bacterial small subunit ribosomal RNA", at positions 524 to 776 of the family's 1533-position model. The record is from RNAcentral.
UACGGAGGGAGCUAGCGUUGUUCGGAAUUACUGGGCGUAAAGCGCGCGUAGGCGGCUGUGUAAGUUAGAGGUGAAAGCCCGGGGCUCAACCCCGGAACUGCCUUUAAGACUGCAUCGCUUGAAUCCGGGAGAGGUGAGUGGAAUUCCGAGUGUAGAGGUGAAAUUCGUAGAUAUUGGGAAGAACACCGGUGGCGAAGGCGGCUCUCUGGACCGAGACUGACGCUGAGGCGCGAAAGCGUGGGGAGCAAACAGG